RNAcentral lists this long non-coding RNA (2850 nucleotides) under Homo sapiens (human). RNAcentral describes it as "non-protein coding lnc-DHRS7-1:3". Lineage: Eukaryota; Metazoa; Chordata; Mammalia; Primates; Hominidae. The record is from RNAcentral.
GGGGAGCAGCCAGCAGUCUUAUGCUACCACUGUGGCUCAUCCUGCGACCUGAGAGAAACCUGGGCAACUGUGAGCACCAGAGGCCAAGUCCUGGACAGUCUUUAGGCCAUGUUGGAACUACAUUUGGAAAGGUGGUUGUUAAACAUUUCCCAGCACACACCUGGAUCUGCAUCUGCUGUGUCAAUUGAACCACUCACUGGUUCUGUGACCUCAGGCAAGUCAUUUAAAUUAUAAGCCUUGGUUUUAUCCUCCACAGAAUACUUCCUCCUAAAAUGUGUUGUGAAAAUUAGAAUAGAUGAAGGCACCCUUGAAAAGAUGACUGAUGCGGUUGGUUGCCCCACCACUUCCUACUACUUGGCAGAGCCUCCUCGUUGGCAGAUCCUUCUCUCACUAGAGCAUGUAUAUGGAUGCAUGCUCUCUCACCCUCCCUUGUAGCUUAGAGCAGAGCAUACCAAUCUAUGUGCCAGCAUACCCUGGUAUGUCUCAGAUGGGUCAUAGAUGUGAUAAGGUAUGGAUCCCUUAAGCCCUUGGGACAUUCAAGUGAGGCUGAGCUGCUGAAGCCCUGGGAUGGUAUGACUGGCCACAAGCAACAUUACCCAGGUACCCCUCUGUGUCACAAAAACGUUAUCUUUGUAUUUGUGUCAUGGUGUGAAAAAAUUGAGAAGCACUGCCUGGGGACAUAGUGAGGUAGCCCAAUUCUGGAUAAAGGAAAUUGAGAAGUCUUGAGGGGGUAGAGAGGUUUUCUUCCCUAAUAAGAAGAAUCACAGGAGAGAAAAUGCCUUCCUCAGCCAUAUGUUGUUAUUUCUAUAUGUGAGCCUGGAAUUUCAAGGUUAUCUUGCAAAGAACCAAGGCAAUGUAGAGAAAAGAAUUGAUAGCAAGUGGCUGGAUCUUUCACAUUGUAAAGCCAUUGAGCCAUCCGUGCAAUUGCCCACCUUGGGAAUUUAUUUUUAAGAGUGAUAAUAAAUGCUCCUCAUUGUUUAAACUACUUUGAUUUUUGUAUUUGGUUAUUCAUAAUUAAAAACACCCAAAUACAGUAGAAGAACUGGUACAUCCCUGACACCUAAUGAGUGCUCAAUAUGGUUAGUUAAUCACCAAAUUAGAUCCUUUGCCUUUAGAAAAGCUGCCAUGGUCAAAUGUGUGUUGAUCUUAUUUUUCGUAAAUAUUUAAGAAAUUUGUUCAGUAACUAGCUUAACUUUUAAUAUUUAUCUUGAGUCUCUUCUAAAUAUGUUUUUACUGUAUAAUAAAAGCAAUAAUUGAAAAAUGACAUCAUUUUAAGCUUGAGAGCAACUAGAUACAAAGAUGUUGAUAUGCAUUUUCUCUUCUUGAAGGAUCUAGACAAACUGGAGCACCAUUACAUGAAAAAGGUUAAAGAAUCAAUGUUUUGCAAAAUAGAACUGGAAUUAAUUCAUGGGAAUUACAGAGAAGAUCAUAUUAGUUCAAUAUAAAAAGAGGGCCUAGAAUGUGCCAAGCUCCAUACAAUGCCCCUCAUGAGUGUUAUUUAAUUCUCACAACAACUUUGCAAAAAAGAAACUAUUUUUUUUUCCAUUUUACAAAGGAGGAAGCUAAGGCUGUGAAAAAGAGCUCUUUUGCAAGCCUAGGACCUGAUUCCAAAAUUCCCACUCUUUCUGUUGCAAAUUCUGGCUAAGCUUUCCAGAGAUGACUUGCUUUCCCCUUGAGGCCCUUUCAGUGCAUUGUGCCAUGGAAAACAAAAAGCCCAACAAUGACAUCUUUACCAAAGAUGCCUUGGGGAGAUGGGAGAAGAGUUACAAUGCACAUUACACAGCAAAAUCUUUUUUAAGCUCCAAGUAAAAUUGGUUUUUUCUUAGAGUUUUGCUUCCAGCAGUCACUUCCUCCAUUCUCCUGCUCUCUCCACGUGAGGAAAACUUCUAUCCUGCCUUCUCCUAAUACACUUUCCUGUUUUUUUUUUCCUGCACAUUUCUUAAAAAUCCCACAUAAGGCAAAAGCCAAGACAAUAUCCAUCAACACCUCCACCCCCACCGCAUGUCCAUGGAGAGCUUCAAGUCAUCCUGCCGCUGGUACAAACACGGCAGAGGCCUCUUUGUAAAGAAGUGGUAGGUAGAAUUCAGGUUAGCACCAGAAUCUGAAAACUCCAGCUCCUUUGACUGGGACCAGGCUGGUAAUAUAAAUGUUAGAUCAGGCUGGGUCUGACACAAUGGGGAUCAGUAGAGCAUACUUGUCACAUUUGAAGGCAUUCAGAAAAAUAAUAACCUUAAAACAUUCUAAACAUGUUGCAAUCAAAGAGGAUACCCCUUGACCACUGCACGAAUUGGAGUUCAAAGAUCAUCUCUCUUUUGCCUAGGCUGUAGACUAGUUAUUUAACCUCUCUCAGACUUGGUUUCCUCUUCUGGAACAGGGUAUAUCAACUACCUUGCAGAAAUAAAUGACAUCCUGUACACAAUGCACCUACCACGUUGCCUGACCCAAUAAUGUGUACAUACAUAAGAAAAUGUUCAUGCCCUUUGCUCACUUUAAAAUUUUUUUUUCUUGUAUAUUUGUUUAAGUUCUUCGUAGACUCUGGAAUGGAGCUGGAAGCUGUCAUCCUCAGCACACUAACGCAGGAACAGAAAACCAAGCACUGCAUGUUCCCACUUAUAAGUGAGAGCUGAACGAGCAGAACACAUGGACAUAUGAAGGGGAACAACACACUCUGGGGCCUGUGAGGUGCAGGGAGAGCAUCAAGAAGAACAGCUAAUGGGUGCUGGGCUUAAUACCUGGGUGAUGGGUUGAUCUGUGCGGCAAACCACCAUGGCACACAUUUACCUAUGUAACAAACCUUGACAUCCUGCACAUGUACCCCGGAACUUAAAAAUAAAAGUUGACAAAAAGAAA